GGGGGAAGCUCCCGAGGCAGCUGUGAAAAGAGCUGACCUCCGGUCCGUGGGGAGUCCGUUGCCGCCAUCAUGCGAUGUUAAACUGAGGAAUUGGCCAGGUGUUCUUGAUUAGGAUGGCGAGCUAAGACCGGAACCUACAUCUUCAUCAUCUCACCCUACGGGUCUGGUAGGAGGCUGACACAGCCUGCCCCCCCCACUCUUCCAAUCUUUUGCUGACUUUUUAACUAUAAUCAAGGCCAAUGCACACUAUUCCAAUGAACAAUACAAAUGGAUACUACGCAAAGAACUCAUACUCUCAAACAUUGAAAAGUCAGUAAUAAGUGGACGCCACCCGUAUGGAGUACUUCCUUUCAUUUUCUUCCUUUUGUUGCUACUAACUCAUCUCGACCAACUAGAACUUAAAGUGCACUUACCUAUCACAUCUGCAGAGUGUAAAUAUUCGGGGGUUUCAUUAUUGUUUUCAUUAUUAUUAUAUUACUAUUUUGUGUUGCUAUUUUUGUUUCUGUAAAUAUUAUGUUGUACUAUUCACUUCAAUAUACGGUGCCAGUACCCAACAUAAUUCCUGCCUCCUGCUGCAUUUCUUACUUACUACACCAGCUCCAGCAGUCGAAUCCCAAUCUUCUGAUCUCAGUCAAACUCAGCCCAAUUCACACAGUAACUUUCCCUUUUAUUAAUAAAUAUAAGUUAGCACGCAAAUACAUGCUACAAUUAGAACCCUGUGACAGCCCACUCACUGGUCUAAACCUAAACAAGCGUUAUGACAGCUGCAGUACUUACACCACACCAGAAAGUACGAGCACAUAAGUCCUGUGCUCAGGUCUCUGCACUGGCUCCUGUGGCUCAGAGAAUAGACUUUAAAGCAGCUCUGCUUGUGUAUAAGUCUCUCUAAUGACCAGCACCAACGUACAUCUCCGACAUGUUAGUGCCAUAUGAACCAUCUCACACUCUGAGGACUUCGGGGACAGGACUAAACAUGGGGGAUCAGUGUUUUCAGUUUUUUUUUUCAGUCUUCCUGGAGAUGUGAGAUGAUGAUUAUUUAUGUUUUGAUUUGUUUGUAUUAUGAUUUUAAUAUCUAUCUUAUUCUGUAAAGCACUUUGAAUUACUGUGUACAAAUUGUGCUGUACGAACUUGUCCAAGUUUUUUUUUUUUUUUUUUACCUCAGUUUAAAAAAACCUUUUCGUUCAUGGUUCUGGGGUUGUUGUGUUUAUCCUUGCCAUGCUGCAAACUGCCAAAUAAAACUAUUGAUACUAUUACUGCUACUAGAUGGUAAUUGGUUCAAAGUUAGGAGAUGACAAAUCUUGAUUAUUAUAAUACCAAUAAUACAUAAGGCCAAUUUUUUUUUUAUUUUCAAGGUACUGUACCUGAUUUUUACUGUAAAAAAACAUGAAAACUAGAAUAAGUUCAUUUUAAACGGGUUGCAGUGGUCCAGAGUUAUUCUUCACUUUAACAUAUUUCGAGCAUCCCAAUUAAUCACUGUAAUGAGUUUAAAAGCGCUUUAUACAAGGCCAGUGUUGAGUUUACUGCCAUUGUAAUGCUAAUGCUAAGUGUAUAAGCCUUAAAUCAUGGUUUGUAAAUGUAUCAAGUAUCAUAGCAACCAUAAAGCCAAUCCAGAGAGAGGCUGUUAAAGAUAAUGUUCCUCCCCGCCCACACCGCUGUUUUGGCAGGGAGCAGAUGAAUAGCAACGAUGUCAAUCAAACCUGUUGCUAACGCGAGCGGAAGCGACCUUGGUGAAAGACGCCGACUGAUUUGUCUGUUAUUAAUGUUCAUAUCUUGAUUUAUGGAUAAAAAACUGAAAUAGAAAUAUCAGGAUCAUGUAGAGCGGGUUAAUACGAACAUUUUAAGACCAAAAUAAUGAGUCUGACAGCAGCAGGUAUGGAGACAGGGGCGACAGAUUUUCAAUAGAAAGUGAAUUGGAGCCAGUUAAGUGUGCCCAUACUCACUGCCUAUUUAGAACGUGACUAGCAGGUUAGCUAUGUUGAUUUAUGUAUAUACAGUCUAUAGUUUUGAGGUAAUACAAACUUUACUUGCAUAAAAAAUGAGUAUAAUCUCUUUCACAUGCCACUAAAUCUAUAAUAAUUGCUCAUUACCUCAUUUCCUGUUUGCUACUAACACCACUUCAGUUGAAAGAUAUUUUCUAAUAACGCUCUAAUUUCAAUUCAAAACGUAUUCAAGAGUAAAUUUGGUAAGCAUUAGGUAUUAAAUACAAGCGACGGGGAAUAAACAGGAUGCAUUCAGCAGAUAAGAGCAGGUUGCCAAAUUAAAAACAAGAAAGCGGAAAAUUCCUUCCUAUUCAAGAUGCUUUUAGCCCCAAGAAUAACACUGUUCAUUUUUAACCGAGAGCAUUUGAACGCACCUCAAAGACUUAUUGGAUUUCUGGGCUCUGGUUUUGAAAUGUAAGCAGUACAGUGUGGAGUGAAAUCAAUAGCUCUGCGCCUGGUUAAGUGCUAAUCAAAACAUAGCACUCACCAGAAGAAGGCAUUUAAGGAACAUUCCCAGCAUGCUUUGAGGCGAAGACUCGGGAGCGCGUAUAUAAUUGUGUGAUGUAAAGGUUAUAUUACUCACAGAAUGGAGAGUUUAUGGUUUCACUUUCACCAUUAUCCAUGCUUUUAGUUAUGAGUCCAAUGUGGUUAAAAGGGUCAGAUGUGCCAAAGGGCUUUAGGCGGACUAACGUUAGCACAGAACAAAAGGAAUGUUGGGGUUUUACCAAAUAGUGUUGGAAAGCAUUUUAAAUCAUUUAUUCUGAAGUUCAAUUUUUUAUUUUUCUAUUUUGGCUAAUGUCUUGGGGUAGCACUUUUUACAUAGCAGCACACAACACAUUGUACCAACCUCCUUUAAAGCAGACCUAUUAUGCAAACGCUUUUAACCAUUUUAUAGUUGUUUCCUUCUCACCAUUUACCCUCUCAAACUUGUAUUUGUGUCAUGAUCCGUACCGUCCACUCCACGUUUUACCUCCUGUCCUGCUCCUUCCCUCCUCCUGGCUCCUCCUGCGCGCACCUGCAGCUCAUCAGCGCAAUUACCUCCACCUGCUGCGGAGCAUAAGAGGAGCCAGGACCAGACACUCAGCGCGAGAUCGUCUGUUUCUUCACCCUGUUCUGUGCCAGCGUUCCUUCGUUCCUGCAUUCCUGUGUUGCUUCAUCCUGUUUGUGGCCAGAGUGUCCACAUGUCUACGUCCCUGCUCCCUCGCUCGUCCCAGCUCCUGGCUUCUGGCUCAGCUCCUGACCUCCCGCUCCGGCUCUGGUACAGAUUACUCCUUGUCUUCACCUCCUUGUCUCAUCCUGGACUCCGUCUUGCUCCACGUCUCCCGCUCCGGCCCCGGUACUGUUCAACUCCUGGUCUUCACCCUCUUGUCUCGUCCCGGACUCUGACUCACACCCCGCUCCCAGUUCCUUGCUGGGUUAAUGAACUCUUGUUAAUUAUUUCACAAUCUGCAAAAUAAACACUGUAAAUCUG
This is a long non-coding RNA of Periophthalmus magnuspinnatus, 3450 nucleotides long. RefSeq lists it as uncharacterized. Lineage: Eukaryota; Metazoa; Chordata; Actinopteri; Gobiiformes; Gobiidae. The transcript has 3 exons. The record is from RefSeq and is a predicted model, not a curated record.